RNAcentral lists this long non-coding RNA (6262 nucleotides) under Vigna radiata. RNAcentral's name for it is "long non-coding RNA (VRAD_LNC004873)". Lineage: Eukaryota; Viridiplantae; Streptophyta; Magnoliopsida; Fabales; Fabaceae. The record is from RNAcentral.
AGGGGAAGAAUGCAAUGAUAAUAUGCAACUAAAGCUACCUAAAUGCAACACACAAUGACGAACACACAAAACAGAACAUCACACUCACAACACAAGACAAAACACAACACAUACUAACAGAACAAAAGACCUAAAACCGAACCGUUGGUCCCCGGCAACGGCGCCAAAAUUUGAUGGGUGUCGCCGCCCAAACAAAUUUGAUUGCAUAUUAGAAAUGCAGUAUAACUAGGAAGUGACUCCUAGGUCGUCUCUCAAGGACCAAAUGCGGUUCGAGACUUAGGUCUAACAUAUAGUGGGAGGGGGGUUUUGAAGGUGUUUGAAACGAGAAUUAAAUUAAAUUAAAAUGCAUGAAAAUUAGACACAACCGAACAUAAUUGAAAGCAUUAAAGUGCAUUAAAACAUUAAACUGAAUGGGCAAGAAAUGAAGACAAGUCGAACGGCACAAUCAGAGACUAAACGGUCUAAACGCAACAAAACCAGAAAUUGCAGAAUUCAUCCGAAUUUGAAAACAAAACGCUAAAACAGUAAACUGAACAUUGCAAUAUAUAAAUAUCCAAACACAAUUAAGAAUCUUAAACUAAAAUGCUUAAACUAAAAAUGAAAUGCAUAAUGCAAUUGACAAAUAAACAAAUGCAUAAAUUUGAAAUAAAGUUACUAAAAUAAAAAAUAAAAUAAAAAUAAAAAUAAAAGUAAAAUAAAAUAAAAAAAAUAAAAUAAGAAUAGAAAUAAAAUAAAAAAAAAUGAAAAGCCAAAUGAUAAAAAAAAUUGAAACACGUUAAAUACAAUUAAAAAAAAAAACAAAAAGAAAAACCGAGGACGUGACCCUCUUACCUAGCAUUCCAUUCUCAAAGUAAAAGCAAAGAAAAUGUGUUACUUCAUUCUAGCUAGCCAUAACCGUGUGCUUCCUUAUAGCAAUUAAAUGAAAUAUAAUAAAGCGUAACAGUAAAGCUAAGAUAAACAAGUAGCUACCUUAAGGCUGAAUGUAAUCUAAUAUAUAGAAUAUAAAAUCAUUCUCAGUCUAUGCGUGAAGAUAAAAUCAAUUAGAAAAGCUCUUAAAAAAAAAUCACAAAAUGUGCAUCGCUCCUAAAUGAAAAUAGCUCCUCUUCUCAGCCGUAACCUUCCAUGCUUCUAAAGAAAACAAUUCUCUACUGUGUGGUGGCUGUGUUGUCCCUGCAACUUCAAAUGCCGAGAAUGAAUAUUCUCCCGAUGAGUGACGGCUGCUGCCUUUUCCUAGGGCCAAGUCACUAAAAAUAGGGUGGGGUCCACCCAAUAACCCUAGGGUAUGACAUGGGUCUCACAAAGUUUUGGGCUUUUACAACUUUACCACUAAAAAGGGCCCAAUGCACAAAAGUUUGAUUAAAAAUAUUGUAUACUACUAAGUUACAAUAUAAUUAAAUUUGAAAUGUCCAAGUGUAGAGUCUUGAAUUUAUUUUGUCACCUCCAAAUGUCCCAAAUUGAGUUUCCAAAAUUCUCCCUGAAAAUAAUAAUGCAAAUAAUUAGCUCAGAAAAUUCAAAUUAAUUAAAAUUAGAAUUUCCAAUCAAAUUAAGCAUAUUUAGGAAAAAUGGGAAAAUACCGGACAAUUAAGCACAAUUCCCUGAUUAAUUCUAGCACAAUAAACUAAGUGAAAUCACUAAAAUAUCGACUCAUCAAAAUUCAUCAUCAACUGAAUAAUUUUUCUACAAGCAUUCAAAGUUUCCACUCAAGUAAGUAUGCAAAUUCAUGUUUAGGGUUUCUAUUUUGGGAUUUGUUGAUGAGCAUGUUUAGGAACAUGAUAAAUUGGGGCUUUUGAUUUCUAUGCAUGAAUUAAUGAAAUAGGGACUGUUUGAACCGAUUGAAUUGCAUGAUUUUGGUCUGGAUUGUUGAAAGUAGCAAAAGAGUGGAGAUUAGGACAGUUUAGGAAAGGUUUUUGAAAAAACCUAGCCGCCACUGCUUAGCGGUAUGUUUUGGCGCCGAGCGGUGGCGCGGCUGGAGACAAACCGCCUGGGCGGUCUUCAUGGACGCUGAGCGGUCUGCUGCAGAUUUGCCUAAAUGAUUGAAGUUUUUGGAUGUUUGGAUGCUGAGGGGUCCUGUUUUCCCUCAAAACUGGAUUAUGUGUGAUUUGAGUUAUAAAAUUGAUGAUGUACUAACCUCUAAUGAUGUUUCUGUGAAUAUUGUUGGAUUUAUUUGAUACAGGAAUGUCUACCUCAAAAAGAGUGAAAACUAUGGGCAACAAAAGGAAGGAGCCAGAGAGACCUACGAGAUUCUAUUCUUCUAGGUUCCUCUCAAGGAAGCAUGAAGAGCAUUAUGCUAUUGUCCAAGAAAGGCGUUUGUUGAUGGAGAGAAAGGCCAUGUAUAUCCCUGAUUUAGCUCCAGAAUUUGGUUUGGAGAUUGAGAGGCGAGGCUGGGAGAGACUAACUACAUAUCCAGCACCAGUCAGUAUUGAGUUGGUGAAGGAGUUCUAUGCCAACGCCUUGCCCCGGGGAGGAAUAUCAGCUGAAAGAUACAUGAACUACGUGAGGGGACAUUUGAUCAGUUAUGAUCCCGACACCAUUAACGCUUUCUUCGGGACUGAGUGGCCAAGAGAGCAGUGCAGUUAUGUUGCUAUACUAGGGGAGGCCAGGGAUUAUGAAGAUAUUGAGAUAGUUAUGUGUAUCCCUAGGAGGCAUUUUCAGAGAAACCCUAAUGGGGCACCGGUUAACAUCCUUAGGGCAGAUUUGGCUCCCCUAGCCAAGUACUGAAUGACAUUUACUCAUGCCAACAUCCAGCUAUGCUCUCAUGUUUCUGACAUCACACUGCAUCAGAUUCUGGUCAUUUGUUGUAUGUUGCGGUAGAUAGACGUGAACGUUGGUAAGAUUAUUACCAGCGAAAUUCUGAGUUGCGCCAACACUGUGAACAACAGGGCACCACUGGGACAUCCGUCCUAAUUACAUACUUGUGCCAGCAGGCAGGAGUGGACACUGCAGUUCCACCCUAUGCGAGGCCGAUGAGAGCUAUUGAUGCCUCCUAUUAUCGUUAGUACUGUGGAGGUGAUGAGCUGGCUGGAGCAGUUCCUAGGAGACGUCCUAGGAGGACAACAGCGCAGCAGGAGGAUGAGCCUGUAGAUGCACCGGCACAACAACCUGAGCCUUUCCAGAUGAGGGACAUGUAUAUGUCCAUGAUGGAGGCAAUGAUGGAGUCCCUUCGUAGAGGGCAGGUGGCCACUGUUGAGAUGAUUGUAGGACUAUAUGAUCAGCCACUAGUGCACAGGUGGACUAUGGACGAGUUCCAUAGUGCGAUGGCUUGGCCUCAAGGGCAGGCACAGGACAGUGGGUCCAGAGAAGCUAGAGCCUCAGGAUGAUAGGAUGACGACCAGGAGGAUGAGGACUUUGAGGAUGCCCAGGAUGAGGAUGAGUAUGACUCAGAUGAGGAUUUACACUGAGGGCAUCUACUGAUGGAUGCCAGCAUUUGGACAGGGAUUUUUCUUUUUCUUUUUCUCUUGUACUUUGAAUUAGUAGUAUAGGUUUUAUUCUUGUGUCUAUGCUUGGCUUGUACACUGAUUCUGAUGAUGGUUCAAUUUUAUUGCAUGAUAAGUUAUUUACUACUGAUGAUUGAUUGAGGAUGAUGAUUGAGAAUGUGUGAAUGUUGAUAUCCAGGUUAAUAUUUCACUAAUUAUGUGAACAGAUGAGUAAGUGAUUAUGAUUGUGAUUGUGAUGCUAAGCAGGAUUCAUGAAUGAGAAGUGAGAAAGCAUUUGUGUGAGGUAUUGAGCUUCAGAGUUUUUAUUGAUGUGUGCAUUGUUCACAGGGAAUCAUGAAUGAUAUUGACUUAAUCUUGAUAUUUGAUUGAAUUGCAUGUGUAUGUCAUAUGAUCAAGGCCAUGCUUGGAAAGCCCUUACUUGGCCAAAUUUUCACCCAAAGAAUUUGAAAUGAUAUACCCUUUUUGAACCUUAGCCUUAAACAAUUUGAAAACCCUUGUUUGAAUUGAAUUACCUUGAGUUAGGUUGAGAAUAAUUGUAUGUGUUGAAAAGGUUCAAGUUUGGGGUUGUAUGGGGAAAAGUGAAAGGCAAAAGAAAAAGAAAAACAUUGAGUUCAAAAGUUAAAAAAGAAAAAUGCAUGAGAAAGAAAAGAAAAAAAGAAAAGAGAAAAAGCAUGCAAAGUGAACUCAAUGUAAAAAGGAAAAAGGGAAAAAGUUAGGAAUGAGUGAGAUUGGUUAAAAGAGAGUGUGCUUGAACUUUGAAUGAUAAUUUAAAACUCUCUUAACUCAAGGAUUUUGUAUUCCAGAAAAACCAAUUUUUCUUGAUAGCCCAGCCACAUUACAAGCCUUAGAAAAGUCCUUGUGAUGACAUUUGCAUGUGAAGAUUUUGAUUGUUUUAGAUGAAUGGCAAUAUUGUUUUAUGUGACAUGUGAACAGUAGAGAGUAGAGUGACCUCCUAAACACUUGAGUGAUUGAGUGAAACACUUGCUUGGUGAGAAUUGUUGAAAUCCAUGUUUAUAUCUAUGCUUAGUUGAUUGAUCAUUCAUGAACAAAACAUCUGUUGGAAAAAGAUUAAUUAUGUGAACUGAAUUGGAUUGAAAGCAUGCAUGCAUCUUUAUAGGAUUCCAUUGAAAUUUGAAUUAUAUAAUAACUUGUCAUGAGAAAAACGAAUUGUGAAAAUUUGAAUUAUUUGAUGAAGAAAGUGGAAAGCUAAGUCUUGUCUUGUUUGCUUGAGGACAAGCAAAGUUCUAAGUUUGGAGUUGUGAUAACGGUCUAAAAACCGUUAUUUUCAUACUUAAACUUGAUAUUAAAACACACCCUUUAUGACUUAAAAUGAGCUUAAAAUCAAGCAAAACACUUAGUUGAGUCUUGUGAGAGUCAAAAGUUGGUUUUAGAGAUAUUAUGCUUGGUUUUACAUUGUUUUGCAGGGUUUUAAGGUGAAUUGAAGAUGGAAGUGAAGUAAAGUGGACUUAGACCCGUGAAAGAAGAGGAAAAAGGCUGAAAAGAUGGGUCAAGUGAAUCGCUGAGCAUUAGAAUGGACCGCUGAGCGUCUAGAGCGAUCAAGGGAAAAUCGCUCAGCGGCAAAACUGAUCGCUGAGCGGUCAAAGCGGCUAGAGGGAAACCGCUGAGCGGUGAACUUAGGCGCCUGGGCGGUUGUCUGUUUUUAUUAGCUAGAUUCUAUAAUUUUUCUGUUAUCUUUUUGGGCUUAUAUAUAGCCCCAGUGCGAAUCAAAACAUAUUCUUUUGGCAGAGAGAAACAUCCAGAGUUAUUCCACACACCUUGGAGGAGGUUCCUUGGAUGCUUAGGCUCCAAUCUACCAAGAUUAGGGUUAUUUCUUCCAUUCUUUCAUCAUAUUUCAUCUAGUUUCACCAUGACUAUGGUGAACUAAACCCUAAGUUGUUGGGGAACAAUGUAAUCUUUUGAAACUCUCAUAUAUCCAAAUUCUUAUUUAUUUUAUAUGCUUGCAUAUGCUUGAUUUAUCAAUUGUUGGGUUCUUCACCUUUACUUAAUGCUUUUAUCGUUUAACUCAUUNGGUAAAUGUUGUUUGUCUUUAUUGAUAAGGGGACGUACAGUAAUGUCAUGAACUGGUGAGUAAUUCCUUGAUUUUGCAAUACCACCUAGGGAUAGGGGUAGGACGAUCAAUUGUAUUUUGCUUNCGCUUAUCAUGCAUUAUUAAUUACUAGGGGAGGCUAGGAAUAGCAAGCCGGUAAUUAGUAAUAGGCUCUUUUCACCAAGGGAUUGGGUUAAGGGUAGACUAAGAAAGUUUGCAUGACAAUUUGAUAAAUAAGCUAAUUAAAUAAGAAGAGUAUAUAUAUGAGGGUGGAUAAGAUGAAAUUGUAAACCCUAACAACUCCAUUCAUCCAGAGUUUCUUAAAGCCAAUUGAAUCAUUGCAUUUGCAUGUUUAUUUUUGUUCUUUGCAUACACACUUCAACUUAAUUCUUUUCUCAAGUCUUACGCGAUUAGUUUACAUAAAAUGUAAGGCCUAAGAGUCCUUUGGGAAACGAUACUUGGACUUACCCAUUUAUAUUACUUGAUAACGAUCUGGUACACUUGCCAGGGACUUAACAAUAUCGAAGACGUACCCGAAUCAAAUUUAAUGCUCAAUUAAGUGCAGUAUAAUACUAGGAAGUGACUCCUAGGUCGUCUCUCAAGGACCAAAUGUGAUUCAGUCAAUAGGUUGAACACUUUGUGGGGGGGGUGUUUAGAUAGUUUUAAUAAUGAAAGUGAACUAAAUUAAAACUAGAAUGCAACACAGAUUUAAAAUGAUUGAUUACUAGCUCAAUUACAUGCUUCCAAUCACAGAUUAACAACAAUUACACGCUACUCUAAC